CGGAUUGCAGUCUGCAACUCGACUGCAUGAAGCCGGAAUCGCUAGUAAUCGCGGAUCAGAAUGCCGCGGUGAAUACGUUCCCGGGUCUUGUACACACCGCCCGUCACACCAUGGGAGUCGGAAAUGCCCGAAGCCGGUGGCCUAACCGAUAAGGGAGGAGCCGUCGAAGGCAGGUCUGAUGACUGGGGUGAAGUCGUAACAAGGUAAC
Molecule: ribosomal RNA, 208 nt
Filed under: uncultured bacterium
Lineage: Bacteria
Description: partial 16S ribosomal RNA
Rfam family: Bacterial small subunit ribosomal RNA
Source: RNAcentral